RNAcentral lists this small RNA (662 nucleotides) under Pongo abelii (Sumatran orangutan). RNAcentral's name for it is "processed transcript". The record is from RNAcentral. Lineage: Eukaryota; Metazoa; Chordata; Mammalia; Primates; Hominidae.
GGGAGACCCUAUUAUCUUCAUUUUCCCAAUGAGAUGAGAAUCCCAAGCAGCACAUUCCCCUGGAGGAGUAUGCUGCGAAUUUAAAGAGCAUGGUGCAGUACCUGAAGUCUGUGGACAUCCCUGAGAAUCGAGUCAUUCUCAUCACGCCGACCCCACUUUGUGAAACAGCCUGGGAAAAACAGUGCAUCAUACAAGGUUGCAAACUAAAUCGCCUGAACUCUGUUGUUGGUGAAUAUGCCAAUGCGUGUUUACAAGUGGCCCAAGACUGUGGGACUGACGUACUUGACCUGUGGGCCCUGAUGCAGGACGGCCAGGACUUCUCAUCUUAUUUAUCAGAUGGACUACAUUUGUCUCCAAAGGGGAAUGAAUUUUUGUUCUCGCAUCUCUGGCCUUUGAUAGAGAAAAAGGUCUCUUCUCUGCCUUUGCUGCUUCCUUACUGGCGGGAUGUAGCAGAAGCAAAACCUGAAUUAAGUCUGCUGGGAGAUGGAGACCAUUAGCCAAUCACAGGAGACCCAAAUCUGCUUGUUAUCUACAGAACUCAAAGUUGUCAAUACAUAGAGGUACGCUUUUUUCCUCAAGCUGAAACCUUUGCCACUGAUAUUAAUAAUAAAAGUAUUAGAUUUUUUUCAGGGAAGUUUUAUACUUAGGUCCAUUGUGUUUUG